GGCGAGUGGCGAACGGGUGAGUAAUGCAUCGGAACGUACCGAGUAAUGGGGGAUAACUGUCCGAAAGGAUGGCUAAUACCGCAUACGCCCUGAGGGGGAAAGCGGGGGGAUCGAAAGACCUCGCGUUAUUUGAGCGGCCGAUGUUGGAUUAGCUAGUUGGUGGGGUAAAGGCCUACCAAGGCGACGAUCCAUAGCGGGUCUGAGAGGAUGAUCCGCCACAUUGGGACUGAGACACGGCCCAA
Molecule: ribosomal RNA, 242 nt
Filed under: uncultured bacterium
Lineage: Bacteria
Description: partial 16S ribosomal RNA
Rfam family: Bacterial small subunit ribosomal RNA
Source: RNAcentral